CAUUAAGUUGGGCACUCUAAGUUGACUGCCGGUGACAAACCGGAGGAAGGUGGGGAUGACGUCAAAUCAUCAUGCCCCUUAUGAUUUGGGCUACACACGUGCUACAAUGGACAAUACAAAGGGUAGCCAAACCGCGAGGUCAAGCAAAUCCCAUAAAGUUGUUCUCAGUUCGGAUUGUAGUCUGCAACUCGACUACAUGAAGCUGGAAUCGCUAGUAAUCGUAGAUCAGCAUGCUACGGUGAAUACGUUCCCGGG
RNAcentral lists this ribosomal RNA (255 nucleotides) under Staphylococcus aureus. RNAcentral describes it as "partial 16S ribosomal RNA". It matches the Rfam family "Bacterial small subunit ribosomal RNA", at positions 1122 to 1378 of the family's 1533-position model. The record is from RNAcentral. Lineage: Bacteria; Bacillati; Bacillota; Bacilli; Caryophanales; Staphylococcaceae.